UUUGAGUUAAUUGCUUGAGUUAACUGCAAUUAAUCAACAGCCCUAGUAAGAUUACAACAGAAGUUUGGGUGUUGCAGGUAAACAUAUUGCAACAUUUAACAGAUAUAGAUCCUCCUUUAGUUUUAGUAUUCUUGUGACUCUUGUUUUGGUAGUCUAGUUUAAAGUGCACAGCAUUUUAUUCCCCUCAUAGUAUUGCAUAGAUGAAGGCUGCCAUUGUGAGGAAACUUAUAGUGAAAAGAACAAAAAUCAUGCACACAUAACAAGGUAACAAGGUCAUGGAUCUCAUUUUAAACACAGUUAGUUCACUUUUAGUACAAGUAACUGCAUAUGCCAUAAUAUCUCUUGCAUGUAGAAUUUUGCACACAGUCAAAUCUCUGAAAUUUUACAAAUCUUUAUUAUGGUGUGGAACUACUCAUGACCAGGACAGGGAAAAAGGUAGGUGAGUACUGCAACAGCAUCCAGGAGAAUACCACGGUGUGCACCUCCUGUAUGAAAUUAGUUGUGCAAGCUGAUGGAAGUGAUAGUGACUAUGGAUCUGUGGCCUUAGAUAAUGUAGCAUGUGAAGUGUAAGAGUAACUAUUAGAAAACUGACAGUUAAUGACUCGUGAGGGACACUGGUCUGCUUUAUUAGGCAUGGAUGCUGUUGAGACCUACUUUAUAAUCUUUAGGCUGACACUGAGUUGCUGUGAUUGUGGGCAGACUACUUAAACUUCCUGUGCCUGUUUCCCUAUCAAUAAAAUAAGAAUAGUAUUUUCUUACCGAUAAAGGUCUGAGGACUGGCUGUUUGCACACUGCAUCAUAAUUGUGAAAUGCUAUAAAACUAUUUGGUCCCUUCCUGUGUCCUACCUAUUUCUUUCCAUAGGUCUUUUGGUUUGGGAGGUAAUGGUAUAAAAGACACUAGAAGGAAUAAGGAGGUUUGUAGAGGGAAUGUGUAUCAGAAUUAUGAAAGUGCAUAAAUUAGCACCAGAGGACUUUAGAGUAAAAUGGAGAGAUUGAUAGGGGUCUAAACAAGACAUAAAAUAGUCUCCCUGGAGCCACGGGUUCAAAUUUAGGCAUGGAUUUAUAUUUUGGGUUGCAUUAAUUAGCGAUGUGAUGCUGAAAUAGCCUUGAGCUUCCUGGCUUUCAGAUGUUUAUGUAGAAGAUUUAAGACUUUUUUCCCUUCCCUUUUUAAAAAUUGUAUAUUUACAGCUUUCAAAAGGUAGAGUAAAGUUUGUCUGGGAAUCUCUGUACACUUUCAGUAGUGAGAUUGUUGAGGACCUAUAUUUGAAGUGUCUUAUCCUAACAAGCAUUUGUAAAAACAGAUAGAUCUAUAAAGGUACCAAUGAUCUAGAUAUUCUUUUCCCCCACCCAUGAAUAGCUGCGCUUGUCUUAUACAAGGACUGAAAAUUCAUCUACUGUUUUUGUUUGCACGAAAAGCAUCCCUAGAGCAAAGGACAGUUGUGGACCUGCCAUAAUGAGUUUUGUAAACUACCCCAGGAUUAAACAUCAAGUGAUUAUUUAUAGUAUUGUGAAGCUUGAAUGAUUCCUAGAGUCAUGGGAUUUAAAAUCAUUAUGGCUAAUAUCUCUCUUGCCCUGCUGAAUUCUGAUGAGUUUACCACAAACUAUUAAAGGAAUACUUGAUUCCAGCUGUCAGCUGGUAAAGCAUUACUCUCUAGAGGUUGAUAUGAUGCUAGAAGAUAAUAUGCAAACUGUGGAAAGUAUUUAGUUAACGGAAGGUAAGUGUAGGAUUUUUGGCAUAGCUUCCAAAGGAACUGAUAGUGUGUAAUCUUUUUAGCUGGGUACAGAUUAAUGUUUUGAAUGCAAAGCACCUUUCAUUAGGGUGUAUUUUAGCAUUUUUAGUUUGUUUUUUACAAACAACUAAAUAUAGUCAGUCCUGUGAGGUAUGUGUCGAAGAACGUGAACAUUUAUAUGCCCGGAAGUUAAAUAGAUUUUAAAUACUAUGGUAUUAGCAUGUUCAAAAACACUCAAGUAAGUUUCUCUUUCAUCUCAAUCUGCCUCCUGCAUGGCAGUGUGCUGGAAAGCCAAAUGGCAAGUUCCAUUCUAUUCAAGAAAAGCAUAAUAAUAUUUUAAAAAAGAAAAAUGUGCCCUUUUAAUCUGAUGUACUAUUUGCAGCAGUUUAGGUAAUCUUGUCUCCUUUUCUCAUUCAGAUAAAGCUUCACCAAGGCGGUUGCCGCGCAAAAGAGUACAGAAGAGAUCAGUGGGAUCUGAUGAGGACUGAGCAUCUGAGCCAAUGACAGAUGAACAAUACCUGCAAAUCACUUCACCACACUCAGUGUGAAACAGAGUCUAAGGUCUGAAACUCCCUCUACUGGCACUACUAUACUAUAAACUUCCCUGUAAAUGAAGUGUGAAGUAUUUUGACUCUCUUGUCUUGAUGUGGAAAGUAACUUUAGAAACAUCUGCUUCCCGUUUAACAGUGCUUGACUUACAAACUUAACAUAACUAGCCAGUAAAGAACAUUUUAAUUACCACAUUGCAGGAUCUAAAAGAUUAUUAA
Non-coding RNA from Chelonoidis abingdonii (Abingdon island giant tortoise), 2497 nucleotides. Lineage: Eukaryota; Metazoa; Chordata; Testudines; Testudinidae. The record is from RefSeq and is a predicted model, not a curated record.